This is a long non-coding RNA of Eptesicus fuscus (big brown bat), 902 nucleotides long. RefSeq lists it as uncharacterized. The transcript is spliced from 6 exons. NCBI's taxonomy places the organism in Eukaryota, Metazoa, Chordata, Mammalia, Chiroptera, Vespertilionidae. The record is from RefSeq and is a predicted model, not a curated record.
AAUUGACAUUCAUAAUAGAUCUUCAAGAAGGAAUGGAAGAACACUUGAAUGGUAAAUAUGAAGCCAUGGUUUUACCACGUGACCUCCCCGCUGGCCCUUCUACUUGAGGCGAUGAGUAGUAACCUGGAGCAAGCCAUUUCUCUCUGGAGAAGCUAAACUAAGUCAAGUCUGAGGACAUUCCCAGGCUCGGUCAGGACCCGGCUGCCACUGCUCUGGAGACCGGACACCAGUUAGACUUGGAACCCUGGACUCACCGGCAUGCCACCAUGGGAGACCUCCCAACAGGGACUGAUCACCUGCCCGACACAGCAUUUCUGUGUUUUCACAGCGGCUGCGAGUCUGCUCUCUGAAUAAGGCCCUCCGAAAGGCAAAGUUAAGAAGAUACCCAGAGCUCACCCAGACACAAGGGUUGUGAAGAUUCAUUAAGACAGUGCACAAAGCCUUCUUAAGGAUGGGAAAACCAAGGUUCCAUGACCAGCCAAGCUUGCCAGCUAAUCUGAUGCUGGGAAGAACGAGAGGCAGGACCCAUCCUCCAGGUUCCUCAGGAGGAGAAAGGGAUCAAAGGUACUCUGGGGCUGAGGACCACAUCUAUCUCACCCACCACCAGCUUCCUGGCACCCAUCUCAGUGCCUGGCAGUAGGUAGGUCAAUGAGCAUGUGUUGAAUGAAGUACUGAAUUCCUAGAAGUGAAAUUACCCACCCAAAGCCACACACGUGUCAAGCUUCUUCCUUCAUUCUGGCCAACUGACCUCCAGAAAGGCCACACUGUUGACAUGCAGUGCCCUUGACGAAGUGGAGUACCAUCACCUUAAAAUCAGCAUCAUGGCAGAGUGAGAAGACUUUUGUUUCUUCCCUUAAAUUUGUAACAAGUUGGACAACUGUAACUCAAUAAAGGAUCCCCUG